CUUAGCUCAGUUGGUAGAGUGGUGGACUGUAGUUGGACUAAUCUAAAUUGGAAAUCCUUAAGUCGCUGGUUUGAUUCCGGCAG
Transfer RNA from Ipomoea nil (Japanese morning glory), 83 nucleotides. It matches the Rfam family "tRNA", at positions 6 to 65 of the family's 71-position model. Rfam says of the family: Transfer RNA (tRNA) molecules are approximately 80 nucleotides in length. NCBI's taxonomy places the organism in Eukaryota, Viridiplantae, Streptophyta, Magnoliopsida, Solanales, Convolvulaceae. The record is from Rfam.